RNAcentral lists this ribosomal RNA (253 nucleotides) under uncultured bacterium. RNAcentral's name for it is "partial 16S ribosomal RNA". It matches the Rfam family "Bacterial small subunit ribosomal RNA", at positions 524 to 776 of the family's 1533-position model. The record is from RNAcentral.
UACGUAGGGUGCAAGCGUUACUCGGAAUUACUGGGCGUAAAGCGUGCGCAGGCGGUUUUGUAAGCCAGAUGUGAAAUCCCCGGGCUCAACCUGGGAAUGGCAUUUGGGACUGCAAGGCUUGAGUGCGGCAGAGGAGACUGGAAUUCCUGGUGUAGCAGUGAAAUGCGUAGAUAUCAGGAGGAAUACCGAUGGCGAAGGCAGGUCUCUGGGCUGACACUGACGCUCAUGCACGAAAGCGUGGGGAGCAAACAGG